RNAcentral lists this ribosomal RNA (508 nucleotides) under Salmonella enterica. Its description in RNAcentral is "partial 23S ribosomal RNA". It matches the Rfam family "Bacterial large subunit ribosomal RNA", at positions 724 to 1230 of the family's 2925-position model. The record is from RNAcentral. Lineage: Bacteria; Pseudomonadati; Pseudomonadota; Gammaproteobacteria; Enterobacterales; Enterobacteriaceae.
GGUGAUCUAGCCAUGGGCAGGUUGAAGGUUGGGUAACACUAACUGGAGGACCGAACCGACUAAUGUUGAAAAAUUAGCGGAUGACCUGUGGCUGGGGGUGAAAGGCCAAUCAAACCGGGAGAUAGCUGGUUCUCCCCGAAAGCUAUUUAGGUAGCGCCUCGUGAAUUCAUCUCCGGGGGUAGAGCACUGUUUCGGCUAGGGGGCCAUCCCGGCUUACCAACCCGAUGCAAACUGCGAAUACCGGAGAAUGUUAUCACGGGAGACACACGGCGGGUGCUAACGUCCGUCGUGAAGAGGGAAACAACCCAGACCGCCAGCUAAGGUCCCAAAGUCAUGGUUAAGUGGGAAACGAUGUGGGAAGGCCCAGACAGCCAGGAUGUUGGCUUAGAAGCAGCCAUCAUUUAAAGAAAGCGUAAUAGCUCACUGGUCGAGUCGGCCUGCGCGGAAGAUGUAACGGGGCUAAACCAUGCACCGAAGCUGCGGCAGCGACACUGUGUGUUGUUGGGUA